GUGAUUCAGGAUAGACUUCGCACGCAGCUAGUGAGGUUCUAACCGAGGCGCGUCUAUUGCUGGUUGAAAAACUAUUUCCUAAACCCCCUUUUCGGUCCUCGGUUCGCCCUUGGCCGUUGAGAAUUUUUUGAAGGGCUCCCUUUCUUGGGGUAAAGCC
Molecule: small nuclear RNA, 157 nt
Filed under: Nicotiana attenuata
Lineage: Eukaryota; Viridiplantae; Streptophyta; Magnoliopsida; Solanales; Solanaceae
Description: snRNA U4
Rfam family: U4 spliceosomal RNA (bases 21-145)
About the family: U4 small nuclear RNA (U4 snRNA) is a component of the major U2-dependent spliceosome. The structure of U4 snRNA from yeast and human has been reported.
Source: Rfam by way of RNAcentral